RNAcentral lists this transfer RNA (75 nucleotides) under Calothrix sp. PCC 7507. RNAcentral's name for it is "tRNA-Asp (GTC) (tRNA-Asp-GTC-1-1)". It matches the Rfam family "tRNA". From Rfam's summary of the family: Transfer RNA (tRNA) molecules are approximately 80 nucleotides in length. Their secondary structure includes four short double-helical elements and three loops (D, anti-codon, and T loops). Lineage: Bacteria; Bacillati; Cyanobacteriota; Cyanophyceae; Nostocales; Calotrichaceae. RNAcentral also lists the same sequence under 1 other name. The record is from Rfam by way of RNAcentral.
GGGGGUGUAACUCAGUUGGUCUAGAGUGCCUGUCUGUCGAACAGGAAGCCGUGGGUUCAAAUCCCAUCAUCCCCG